GGCGGACGGGUGAGUAACGCGUAGGAAUAUGUCCAGAGGUGGGGGACAACCCCGGGAAACUGGGGCUAAUACCGCAUAUGAGCUGAGGCUCAAAGCAGUGAUGCGCCUUUGGAGUAGCCUGCGUCCGAUUAGCUUGUUGGUGGGGUAAUGGCCUACCAAGGCGACGAUCGGUAGCUGGUCUGAGAGGACGACCAGCCACACUGGGACUGAGACACGGCCCAGACUCCUACGGGAGGCAGCAGUGGGGAAUAUUGGACAAUGGGCGCAAGCCUGAUCCAGCAAUUCCGCGUGGGUGAAGAAGGUCUUCGGAUUGUAAAGCCCUUUCGACGGGGACGAUGAUGACGGUACCCGUAGAAGAAGCCCCGGCUAACUUCGUGCCAGCAGCCGCGGUAAUACGAAGGGGGCUAGCGUUGCUCGGAAUUACUGGGCGUAAAGGGCGCGUAGGCGGCUUAGUUAGUCAGGCGUGAAAUUCCUGGGCUCAACCUGGGGACUGCGCUUGAUACGGCUAGGCUAGAGGAUGGAAGAGGGUCGCGGAAUUCCCAGUGUAGAGGUGAAAUUCGUAGAUAUUGGGAAGAACACCGGUGGCGAAGGCGGCGACCUGGUCCAUUACUGACGCUGAGGCGCGACAGCGUGGGGAGCAAACAGGAUUAGA
This 652-nucleotide ribosomal RNA is filed under the name uncultured bacterium. RNAcentral describes it as "bacterial SSU rRNA". It matches the Rfam family "Bacterial small subunit ribosomal RNA", at positions 97 to 782 of the family's 1533-position model. The record is from RNAcentral.